Small nucleolar RNA from Sorex araneus (European shrew), 66 nucleotides. Ensembl annotates it as small nucleolar RNA, C/D box 37. Lineage: Eukaryota; Metazoa; Chordata; Mammalia; Eulipotyphla; Soricidae. The record is from Ensembl.
GACUGUGAUGACCUGAGAUUUCUUCACUUUGACCUGAACUGUUUUGAAGAAACACAGACUCUGAGG